Picea glauca (white spruce) is the source of this 129-nucleotide non-coding RNA. Lineage: Eukaryota; Viridiplantae; Streptophyta; Pinopsida; Pinales; Pinaceae. The record is from Rfam.
UCUUAUGUACAUGCUUACAUCAAAGUGUUAGUGCAUCAUAUACCAUUAGAAAUCUAUAGUUAAGCGUGAUCAGGCUAGAGUAGUAUUGUUAUGGUUGACUGCCCAGGAAGUCCUAGUAUUUUACAUGCC